UCAGUGGUAGAGUGCUUACCUAGUCUGUGUGCAGCACUGGGUUCAAUUCUCAGCACCACAUAUAAAUAAAUAAAAGAAACAUCCAUUGACAACUUAAAAAAUAUUUUUUAAAAAAGAUAUAUACAUCUCUAAAAGUCUGGCCCUUCACCAAUGGCUUUACCUCUCCCACUAGUCUGUAAGCUCCAUGAUGCAUGUUCAUAGAAUCACUCAUGGCGUGCAUUUGGCAUUAGAUGGGUGGCCCCUUCGUUCUUUUUUUUUUAAUUAACAACCAACAAUCAUAUAUAUUGAGUACAAUGUACGUUUUGAUAUAUGUUUAUUUUGUUGAAUGAUUAAAUUGCACUCAUUAGCCAAUCCAUCACUUUACACUGAUUAUUUUUAUGGCAAAAAAAAAAAGAACAAAACAUUUAAAAAUCUACUUUUUUCUCAACUCUGAACUAUACAAUGCAUUGUUAUUUGUGUUACCAUCCUGUGCAAUUGAACACUGAAGCUGUUCCUCCUCACUGAAAUUGUAUACCCUUCCAUCACCGUUUCCCUGUUCUCCUUCCACUCCCUGCCCUCAGCUUCCGGUAACCACCAUCCACUCUCUCCUUCUGAGUUCCACACUUUUAGAUUCAACUGUGAGAGAGAUGCUGUGGCAUUAGUCCUCUUGUGCCUGGUCUAUUCCACUUAACAUAACACCCUUCAGGUUCAGCCUCCUUGUCCUCAAUGACAGGAUUUCCAUUUUAGGGGCUACCUAAUAAUCUGUUGUGUAAUACUACAUUUUCUUUACCCAUCUGUUGAUGCACCAGGUUUGCUUCCAUAUCUCAGAUCUUGGGAAUAAUGCUGCAGGGGACAAGGGAGUGCAGAUAUCUCCUCAACAACUGCUUUCAGUUCCUUUGGCUAUUAACCCAGAAGCAGAACUCCUGGAUCCUACAGUAAUUCUAUUUUUAGUUUCUGUGGAACUUCCUUGGGUUUUGCAUAAUGGCUAUACUGAUUUACCUUCCCCCAACAAUGACCAAGGCUCCCUUUCCUCCACAUCCUCACCAGCACUUGUUACCUUUCAUCUUUUUAAAGUAGUCGUGCAAACUGUAAGAAAAGGACCCCUUUGCUCUUACCAGAUUCUUACAAUGUGUCCUGCUGCAGUCCCUGGCUGGCUAGGUGCCUGGCUCCGGGCAUGAAGAUGCCCUUUGAGCAGCUCACCACCAAGCCCUGGACUCCAGUGCGAAGAGCUGAGUUUCAGACCCAGCACUGCUACUAGCUGAUAACUGAUGUAACCUAAUUUUGGCUUCAAUUUCUUCUCACUAAGGGAGAUGUGAUCACCAAAGAUCGAGUGCGGUUGACAUGUAAAGAGCUAUCAGAAUGUAGGCCUUUCAAGUAGCAAAGGUGGAAUUUCACCAGAAAUUACUUUGACUGUCACAACUGGAUAUUAAAAUGAAGACUGAUGCACGCCCGUGACAGGACCAGAACCAGAUUCUUUUCUUUAUGCAGUUCCACUCUCUCCCACUAUUUUGGUAACUCAUUUUGGGUCAAGCAAGACCCCUGCCUUCAGCUUCUCCAUUCCAGAAGAAUGCAGGCCUGCACUGUGAUGCUUUCAGAAGUGUUUGCCGAGCAGUGGCAGCCGAACUGAAGCAUCCUUUCUAUUUUGCUCUUGCGUUGCAUAUGAGAUAACCGCUCUCACCUGUUAACCCCCUAGCAGAUAAUCCUCCUGCGAACAAUAGCUUGCAGACCCAGCGUGGCACUGGGGUGUCAGCAUAAAGGAGUCUGUGAGCAGGGCAUGGGGUCAGCCUGCUGUUGUGGGCAGGCUGCUAUUGUUGGCAGGUCCCUUUUGUGAAGGAUGUAGUCUUGUUCUACCGCCUGUACCAGGCUGCACACCAUCUAUUUCCUUGCUAUCCUUGAACUCACAGGGCCUCUUUUCCCCCAGCCAUAAAUGGAUUGGUGUGCGAGAAGCUUUUCCUGCUGGGGACUCACUUCUGCACUGACUCUUUGUUAAUCUUCUGCAAAAUAAGGCAGUUUUCUGUUGAAGAGAAAGCAGUCAUUAAU
RNAcentral lists this long non-coding RNA (2019 nucleotides) under Marmota monax (woodchuck). The record is from RNAcentral. Lineage: Eukaryota; Metazoa; Chordata; Mammalia; Rodentia; Sciuridae.